Molecule: long non-coding RNA, 1486 nt
Filed under: Anas zonorhyncha (Eastern spot-billed duck)
Lineage: Eukaryota; Metazoa; Chordata; Aves; Anseriformes; Anatidae
Description: lncRNA (ENSAZOG00000003740.1)
Source: RNAcentral
AAAGAGGGACGCGUGCCCCCCACCUCCGGUCCCGGUGCCGGUGCCGGCCCCGCCGAGCGCUGCCUCCCGCCGCCGCCCGGGCUUUGCGCAGCCGCGCCCGGUGCGCGGGCACCGCCCCUCGGGCGUCGGGACCCCCGGGGACCCCCCCCCGGUGAUUGGGGUCGGUGAAACGGAGGGGUGCGACCCCCGCUUCCCCUUCCCCUUCCCCUCGUCCCCGUUCCCCGGUAGCUCCCCGGCCCCGUUCCCGGCUGCGAACGCGGCGCCGGGCGGAGCGAGGGGAACGGGCGGCUCCGGAGAGCGCAGCGGGACCCCAAAAACGGGACCCCAAAAAGGGACCCCAAAGGGGGGAUUUUCGACCGGGAUCCCAAAAAGGGUCCUCACGCCGGGAUUCGCUCCCGGGAUCCCAAAGCGCGAUCCCAAAGUGGGAUCCCCACCGGGAUUCUCCCCCCCGGGAUCCGGCACCAGGACCCAAAUCCAGGACCCCCAGCAGGAUCCCAAACUGGGAUCCCCACUGGGAUCUUCCUCCGGGAUCCCAAAGCGCGACCCCAAACUGGGAUCCCCACCGGGAUUCUCCCCCCCGGGAUCCGGCACCAGGACCCAAAUCCAGGACCCCCAGCAGGAUCCCAAACCGGGAUCCCCACCGGGAUCCUUCCCCCGGGACCCAAAAUCCCAGGAGGACCGGGAUGCUGCACUGGGACCCUGCACCAGCACCCCAAACUGGGAGCCCCACUGGGAUCUGCUCCUGGGACCAACACCAGGACCCCACAACGGGAUCCUGCACCAGCGCCCCAAACCAGGACCCCAAACUGGGAGUCCCUCCUGGGACCCCAGACUGGGAUUCUCUCCCAGAACCCCAAACCAGGACCCCAAAGCGGAAUCCCCAAACUGGGAUUCUCUCCUGAAACCCCAAACUGGGAUCCCAAACCGGGAUCCCGAACUGGGAUUCUCUUCCAGAACCCUGAACCAGGACCCCAAACCAGGAUCCCAAACUGGGAUUCUCUCCUGGAACCCCAAAAUGGAACCCUAAACUGGGGUUCUCUCCUGAAACCCCAAGCCAGGAUCCCAAACUGGGAUCCCAAACCGGGAUCCCAAACUGGGAUUUUAUCCUGAAACUCCAAACUGGGAUCCCAAACUGGAAUCCCAAACUGGGACCCCAAACCAGGACCCCAAACUGGGGUUCUCUCCCGGGAUACCACACCAGGCCCCCCCACUUCCCUCUCCCAGGACCCCAAAGUGGGAUCCAGACCCCCCCCAGUGCCCCCAUACUGCUGUGGGGCUGAGCUGCACGAGCCCGGCCCCAUACUGGGAGCACCCCAAUACCGCGCACGGGGCUCUGAACCAGGCCCCCCCACUUCCCUCUCCCAGGACCCCAAAGUGGGAUCCAGACCCCCCCCAGUGCCCCCAUACUGCUGUGGGGCUGAGCUGCACGAGCCCGGCCCCAUACUGGGAGCACCCCAAUACCGGGCACGGGGCUCUGAGGGGGGGG